This 486-nucleotide ribosomal RNA is filed under the name uncultured bacterium. RNAcentral's name for it is "partial 16S ribosomal RNA". It matches the Rfam family "Bacterial small subunit ribosomal RNA", at positions 28 to 507 of the family's 1533-position model. The record is from RNAcentral.
GACGAACGCUGGCGGCGUGCUUAACACAUGCAAGUCGAACGCUGAAGCCCUGGCUUUUGUUGGGUUGGAUGAGUGGCGAACGGGUGAGUAACACGUGAGUAAUCUCCCCUCUUUUUUGGGAUAUCGCCCGGAAACGGGUGCUAAUCCUGGAUAUUCACUGACCUUCGCAUGGGGGUUGGUGGGAAGGUUUGUUUUGGUGUGGGGUGGGCUCGCGGCCUAUCAGCUUGUUGGUGGGGUGUUGGCCUACCUAGGCCUUGACGGGUAGCCGGCCUGGGAGGGUGACCGGUGAGAUUGGGAGUGAGAUACGGCCCAGACUCCUGCGGGAGGCAGCAGUGGGGAAUAAUGCACGAGGGGCGAAAGCCUGAUGCAGCGGCGCCGCGUGAGGGAUGGAGGCCUUCGGGUUGUAAACCUCUUUCGCUCAUGGUCAAGCCGCAACUGUGGGUUGUGGUGAGGGUAGUGGGUAAAGAAGCGCCGGCUAACUACGUG